Molecule: transfer RNA, 73 nt
Filed under: Saprospiraceae bacterium
Lineage: Bacteria; Pseudomonadati; Bacteroidota; Saprospiria; Saprospirales; Saprospiraceae
Description: tRNA-Arg
Rfam family: tRNA
About the family: Transfer RNA (tRNA) molecules are approximately 80 nucleotides in length. Their secondary structure includes four short double-helical elements and three loops (D, anti-codon, and T loops).
Source: RNAcentral
GGUUCGGUAGCUCAAUGGAUAGAGCAACUGCCUUCUAAGCAGUAGGUUACAGGUUCGACCCCUGUCCGAAUCA